GGGGAUUUAGCUCAAUGGUAGAGCGCUUGCCUAGCAAGCUCAAGGCCCUAGGUUCAGUCCCCA
This 63-nucleotide transfer RNA is filed under the name Rattus norvegicus (Norway rat). It matches the Rfam family "tRNA". From Rfam's summary of the family: Transfer RNA (tRNA) molecules are approximately 80 nucleotides in length. Their secondary structure includes four short double-helical elements and three loops (D, anti-codon, and T loops). Lineage: Eukaryota; Metazoa; Chordata; Mammalia; Rodentia; Muridae. The record is from Rfam by way of RNAcentral.